AGUAGCGUGAAGGNNGACUGCCCUAUGGGUUGUAAACUUCUUUUAUAAAGGAAUAAAGUCGGGUAUGCAUACCCGUUUGCAUGUACUUUAUGAAUAAGGAUCGGCUAACUCCGUGCCAGCAGCCGCGGUAAUACGGAGGAUCCGAGCGUUAUCCGGAUUUAUUGGGUUUAAAGGGAGCGUAGAUGGAUGUUUAAGUCAGUUGUGAAAGUUUGCGGCUCAACCGUAAAAUUGCAGUUGAUACUGGAUGUCUUGAGUGCAGUUGAGGCAGGCGGAAUUCGUGGUGUAGCGGUGAAAUGCUUAGAUAUCACGAAGAACUCCGAUUGCGAAGGCAGCCUGCUAAGCUGCAACUGACAUUGAGGCUCGAAAGUGUGGGUAUCAAACAGGAUUAGAUACCCUGGUAGUCCACACGGUAAACGAUGAAUACUCGCUGUUUGCGAUAUACGGCAAGCGGCCAAGCGAAAGCGUUAAGUAUUCCACCUGGGGAGUACGCCGGCAACGGUGAAACUCAAAGGAAUUGACGGGGGCCCGCACAAGCGGAGGAACAUGUGGUUUAAUUCGAUGAUACGCGAGGAACCUUACCCGGGCUUAAAUUGCACUCGAAUGAUCCGGAAACGGUUCAGCUAGCAAUAGCGAGUGUGAAGGUGCUGCAUGGUUGUCGUCAGCUCGUGCCGUGAGGUGUCGGCUUAAGUGCCAUAACGAGCGCAACCCUUGUUGUCAGUUACUAACAGGUGAUGCUGAGGACUCUGACAAGACUGCCAUCGUAAGAUGUGAGGAAGGUGGGGAUGACGUCAAAUCAGCACGGCCCUUACGUCCGGGGCUACACACGUGUUACAAUGGGGGGUACAGAGGGCCGCUACCACGCGAGUGGAUGCCAAUCCCUAAAACCCCUCUCAGUUCGGACUGGAGUCUGCAACCCGACUCCACGAAGCUGGAUUCGCUAGUAAUCGCGCAUCAGCCACGGCGCGGUGAAUACGUUCCCGGGCCUUGUACACACCGCCCGUCAAGCCAUGGGAGCCGGGGGUACCUGAAGUGCGUAACCGCGAGGAUCGCCCUAGGGUAAAACUGGUGACUGGGGCUAAGUCUAACCAAGGUAA
RNAcentral lists this ribosomal RNA (1094 nucleotides) under uncultured Bacteroides sp. RNAcentral describes it as "bacterial SSU rRNA". It matches the Rfam family "Bacterial small subunit ribosomal RNA", at positions 395 to 1499 of the family's 1533-position model. The record is from RNAcentral. Lineage: Bacteria; Pseudomonadati; Bacteroidota; Bacteroidia; Bacteroidales; Bacteroidaceae.